AUUGAACGCUGGCGGCAUGCCUUACACAUGCAAGUCGAACGGCAGCACGGGAGCAAUCCUGGUGGGCGAGUGGCGAACGGGUGAGUAAUAUAUCGGAACGUGCCCAGUCUGGGGGAUAACGUAGCGAAAGCUACGCUAAUACCGCAUACGAUCUAUGGGAUGAAAGCGGGGGAUCGCAAGACCUCGCGCGAUUGGAGCGGCCGAUAUCAGAUUAGGUAGUUGGUGAGGUAAAGGCUCGCCAAGCCGACGAUCUGUAGCUGGUCUGAGAGGAC
Molecule: ribosomal RNA, 272 nt
Filed under: uncultured bacterium
Lineage: Bacteria
Description: partial 16S ribosomal RNA
Rfam family: Bacterial small subunit ribosomal RNA
Source: RNAcentral